UACGGAGGGGGCAAGCGUUGUUCGGAAUCAUUGGGCGUAAAGAGUAUGUAGGCGGCUAUUUAAGUCAGACGUGUAAGCCCACGGCUCAACCGUGGAAUUGCGUUUGAAACUAUUUAGCUUGAGUGCAGAAGAGGAAGGCGGAAUUCCCAGUGUAGCGGUGAAAUGCAUUGAUAUUGGGAAGAACACCGGUGGCGAAGGCGGCCUUCUGGUCUGACACUGACGCUGAGAUACGAAAGCCAGGGGAGCGAACGGG
Molecule: ribosomal RNA, 253 nt
Filed under: uncultured bacterium
Lineage: Bacteria
Description: partial 16S ribosomal RNA
Rfam family: Bacterial small subunit ribosomal RNA
Source: RNAcentral